CCAUCUUUUGUGUGGAGGUUCCGGAUGCUGCCGCUGUUCCCAGCGCUGCUCCUCAGGUCCUGGUGUUGGAUUGUCCGUCCCUGAAGGAGCUGUGACAGAGUUUGAAGGAGGGCGCCCUAUGAAUAGGAAGAGGAAUCCCACCUGGGAGAAGAUCACUGUGGCCUGAACCCUCUCAGGACUGCUUCAGAGCAGAGCUAAUGUGUUGAGAGUUUUGGUCAGGAGAAUCUGUGGUCGAGCCACAGCAGUUCUCUCCUUAAUCCACUCCAUUCCCUCUUCUCCCAGCUAAGCUGCCAUUUCCAAGAGCAAGAAAAGGUGGAUAAAUCUCUGGCUCCACACACCCUUUCCGCCUUGGCUCCCAUCCCCAUCCCCCAUUCACUCCGCCCAUCACUCUCUUGCAGUGGUCAGAGGACAAAGCACUGUUUAAUUCCCAGGUCCUCCCAUGGAAUGAAUUCAGGCAGAAUUCAGAAGAAAUCACCCUCCAGAGAAGAGCAGAAAAGAGCAAAGGAUGGACAGUGCUGAGGGUCAAAUGUGUCCCUCAAAAGUUCAUGUAUUGGAAACUUGAUCUUCAUUGUAACAGUGUUAAGAGGUUGGGAAAUCUUAUUACAAUAACUGAAAGGUGGGGCCUUUAAGAGGUGAGUAGGUUGUUAGGACUGUGUCCUUGUGAAUGGGUUGAUCCAUUCAUGGAGUAAUGAGUGUGGUUCUGAAGGCUUUGUAAGGAGAGUGAGUAAGAAGGUUCUCUCUCUUGCUCAGCCAUUCACGCCACGUUACACCCUGCACUUCUGUAGAGAGCCACCACCAAGAACAAAGACCUGACCAGAUGUGUCCCCAGGAUUUUGGACUUCCCAGCCUACAAAACUGUGAGAUAAGAAAUAAAUUUUAUUUCUUCAUAAAUUA
This is a long non-coding RNA of Cynocephalus volans (Philippine flying lemur), 894 nucleotides long. RefSeq lists it as uncharacterized. The transcript has 5 exons. Lineage: Eukaryota; Metazoa; Chordata; Mammalia; Dermoptera; Cynocephalidae. The record is from RefSeq and is a predicted model, not a curated record.